This is a non-coding RNA of Otolemur garnettii (small-eared galago), 86 nucleotides long. The record is from Rfam. NCBI's taxonomy places the organism in Eukaryota, Metazoa, Chordata, Mammalia, Primates, Galagidae.
AGGCCCCUCCUUCCCGGCCCCAGCUCCCGCUCACCCCUGCCACGUCAAAGGAGGCAGAAGGGGAGUUAGGAGCACAGAGGGGACCA